UAGGAUCGUGACGUACUUCAUGGAUGGCCUCAUGCAUGAUUUUGUUAAACAAGAUUUUGUCCGGAACCAAUCUGGAACUCUGUUUCACAGGCUGAGGCCUUCGUCGGCGAAUAUAAGAGUACUAGGAAGGAUCCCUCGGCUUCAUGGAAAAGCGCGCACACGUUGUCAUUUCGCAGUUGCGGAGGACCUAAGAACUCUAAACGUUCAAGGAGACUGGACGCAAUUGACCCAGGACCGAUACCAGUGGAGGAGAAUUCUUCAUUCUGCGUAGACUUACCGCUACGAACUGUAGCCUAUAAAGUAUUGAGUAAGUAGCAAAUAAAUUUUAAAUUUUCAGAUGCCUUUCUCAAUGUUUUACAGCUGUGACUGACUUGUGGUUUACGGCAAUACAGCACUCGGAAGAAAAGAAACCCACAUUUGGACCAGUCUACCGCGCACCUCUACGGUUGCUCCUUUCGAUCGUUUCGAUCCAUAACGUACACGACUUCAACCUUGACUGAAACACAAAUGACGCGGAGUCAUGCAACUGAUCAGCUUGUGAUCAGUUCGAUAGUGAUCUGAAUCGCAAUCGCAAUCGCGAGUCCUUAUCACGUGCCCCUACCCGUUGCACUUCAUACGUAAGGUAUAGGACUUUUUUUUAUUAUUGCUUGCGGUGACGUAUUUAUUAUCACGGUGUGUCUGGUAGAACAAAAUUAAUUUGAAAAAAUCGGUAUCGCUAAAACUCCCACCAAACGAAAGCUGAAGGUCCCCUCUUUCAUUUGAGACUAAAAGGAGAAAGUUCUAUCGGCGGGUCUAGAACAUUUUUUUUUUCAAAUAUUACUAUCUUUGAGGCUUGUGUUUUUUUUUUUCUUUUUUCAACCUUGCGUGUAGCCAAAUGGGCUUGUAUGAGGUCGCCCAUUAGUAACGUGUCCUUUUAAAAGAGUAAACGGGUCAAAUCAAAAAUUAAAAAUUUUCCUUACAAAAUAUUGCUUAGACAUAAAGUGCAAAAAAAAUAUUUAAGGCAGUUGAAUAUAAUUACAGCAGUAUCUGGGCAUAUAUACAAAUAAACUUCGCCUUUUAUACAUGUGGAAGUAGUUA
Aedes albopictus (Asian tiger mosquito) is the source of this 1077-nucleotide long non-coding RNA. RefSeq lists it as uncharacterized. The transcript is spliced from 2 exons. Lineage: Eukaryota; Metazoa; Arthropoda; Insecta; Diptera; Culicidae. The record is from RefSeq and is a predicted model, not a curated record.